This 504-nucleotide ribosomal RNA is filed under the name uncultured bacterium. Its description in RNAcentral is "bacterial SSU rRNA". It matches the Rfam family "Bacterial small subunit ribosomal RNA", at positions 24 to 518 of the family's 1533-position model. The record is from RNAcentral.
UCAGGAUGAACGCUAGCUACAGGCUUAACACAUGCAAGUCGAGGGGCAGCAUGGGGUAGCAAUACUCAGAUGGCGACCGGCGCACGGGUGAGUAACACGUAUCCAACCUGCCGCUUACUCGGGGAUAGCCUUUCGAAGGAAAGAUUAAUACCCGAUGGUAUAAAGAGUUCGCAUGUUCUCUUUAUUAAAGAAUUUCGGUAAGCGAUGGGGAUGCGUUCCAUUAGAUAGUUGGCGGGGUAACGGCCCACCAAGUCUACGAUGGAUAGGGGGUUCUGAGAGGAAGGUCCCCCCACAUUGGAACUGAGACACGGUCCAAACUCCUACGGGAGGCAGCAGUGAGGAAUAUUGGUCAAUGGACGAGAGUCUGAACCAGCCAAAAGUAGCGUGAAGGAUGACUGCCCUAUGGGUUGUAAACUUCUUUUAUAAGGGAAUAAAGUGAGGGACGUGUCCCUUUUUGUAUGUACCUUAUGAAUAAGGAUCGGCUAACUCCGUGCCAGCCGCCGC